GACAAUAAUCUCUAGUUCUUGUUCUUAAUUUACAUUUUGUGUUGGGCAACUAUUGACACAUCUGAGUAUACUAAAAAUGCACGUUCUGGUUCUUCUUUUUCCUUUUCAGCUUUUCGCAUGGACUUAAACUCUGCUUGUUCCUUUACUAAUACAUUCGUCAGCUCAGCCAAAGCCCCAAGACUGGGAAGAUCAGCCUUUUUUUAAGAUGCUGGAAUAAAAAAAAGUCCCGAUUUACAGUAGCUACCUCUUUCUAUUACUUUUAUUUUUGUUGUCGUUGAUUGCCUUGUUUUUGCUUACAGCCCAAAAUGAAAAUGGCCGUCUCUUUGUGGGUACCAAGAAGAUGGUGUACUUGAUGGCGUUCAGUGGGGUGCCAGGAGGUGAGCUGGGAGAGCGCAGUGUGUUUGGUUGCCGUGUGUUCGGCCUGACCGUGGGCACUGUGCUGGAGGAGCACUGACUUACCCCCUCUGCUGCUCCUGUGUUCUUCCCUGGCCCUGGGGUCACGUCAUUGUCGUGGAGGAUAAACUUUUACAUUACUGCAUGUCUAGCAACAAUCCCAUCAAAAGGAAACAAGAUUCCCUACAGCACUGCUCUGCAAUACAAAGGACUCGAUUAGUUGCAAUCUAGAUCUCAGUUUUACCAACUGUUAAAACAAAGUCACAAGGACGCAAAGUUUGUACGCAAAGGGGGGAAAGUGGAAAAGAACGAAGAGGAAAAGCAAAGCAAGCAGAGAAGGAGGAGGCAGUGGUGGGGGGUCAAAUGUGCUCAGCAGAUCCGAAUUUUGAGACAGAAAUGUGAGCCCAGGCUUUGACGGGCAGUGCUGUGCACCAGAGCAGUAUCUCACUGAUGGGUUUCCCACACUCACCUCCCCGGCAGAGUCCUGAGUCUCGGCGGUCGUGACUGUGCUCCUGGAGCCGUACUUGAUCAUUUCUCCUCAGGCUGGAGAGCGACGUCGUAGCGCACCGGUCCCCUGGACUGAAAACAGCAGCUCUCAGGCCCUUGAGCCACCUGUUCUGUGUCCUGUGGGAAAGCACGGGGGGGAAAAAAAUACUUCCAGCCUACAAAGAAAGGCUCGUGUGUUUCCUCUAGAAAGAAUUCCUUUCCCAGUUGAUAAGGAGGAGACAGGCCUGGAGGCUGACAACCACAAAGAGAUCCUCUCCCGGUGCCAAAAAGUGGAGCUCAAGGGAAGCAGAAGUGCCUCUACACAGGAUAAUCAGGACACUGAGCUGACAGAGGCAACACCUGGGUAUCUCUGAAAGAUAGUCUCUUAGUAGUUCUUCAGCAGAAACAACGCACCUCUGGCCUGUUCUUCUCAACAGACCUGUUAAGCUACAUUUCACCUGCGUUGCUGGUGCAGUGCUGGAGAGUAUUUCCUGAGGGUGGUGCUAAAGGUGACAGGUGCAAUUUCCUAGGUGCUGGUUGGAAGGAAUACAUUUAAACCACAGACUGCUGCUACGAAAAAUAUGCUAUUUACCGCCUUCAACGUCUUUCUUGGUCUCCAAAUGUCAUUCAUGAAAAAUUAAACUAGUUGUUCCCUU
This is a long non-coding RNA of Lepisosteus oculatus (spotted gar), 1535 nucleotides long. RefSeq lists it as uncharacterized. NCBI's taxonomy places the organism in Eukaryota, Metazoa, Chordata, Actinopteri, Semionotiformes, Lepisosteidae. The record is from RefSeq and is a predicted model, not a curated record.